AACUUUAAAAAAAAAUUGCAAACAUUUCUCAGGAAAAUUAGCUCGCCAAUUUUUGUAAACUUACUCAGAUCAAAAACGUCUCUUUAUUCUGUAAAAGUUUGUACAGCCAUUUUGCAAAGUUACCAAAACCUACAUGAAUUUUCCAAACCCUGCAUCACAUCUUUCUGCACAAUCCCCCUAUCAUUUUCGCCAAGUGACAUUUGUCUCUCUGUUUUUUUCUGGGAGGAAGGAAAACGAUCCUGUUUGUUUGAUGAUCUCUGGCGAUGAUGAGAGUGUUGUCACAGCUGGUGCCACAAAGAGUGAAAGAAAAACGUCCACCUUUUCAUCCCGAUGGAGACAGGGACGCAUAAUUGCGUAAGAAGAAUGGAUCCGACAUGGGCAAUAAAUAGGGAAGAAAAAGGGUCGCGUGUUACACCGCGUCAAAUAAAUUAUUACAUUUCAAGCACUAAUUCAAUUGAAUUUCCCAUAAAAAUGUCAAGAAUGAAAUGAAUGGGUCAUUCAUUUCGUUGGAGGAGAGAUGGGAAAAUUAAGAAUUUUCUUAGGUACCAGAGAUGUCCGAAAUAUUUUGAAAUUGGCGGGUGAAGAAAUUUAAAUGUUUAUUUUGACAAAUUGAAAUUGGAAAUAUUUUUUUUUACUUCUUAACACAAAAAAAUAUACAAAUGUUUGGAAUAAUAUUGUAAUUGUUUAGGAGAGUUGUCCGAAAUAUUUUGAAAUUGGCGGGUGUAGAAAGUUAAAUGUUGGAAAAAAGAUGAAAUUAUGCAAUUUUUGUCUGGAAAAGUAAGAAAGUGGAGACAAUUCAUUUGCACGAUUGAAUUAUCACAAAUUGGAAUUGAAAAAAAAUAUUUUUUUAAAUUUGUUAAGUUACAAAAUAAAUAUUUGAAAGAUGUAAUUGGAAAUUUAAACGUCGAAAAAUAAAAUUUUUGUGGUUGGCUUAAUCAAACUAACAAUAAUGUUACAUGAGUAUCUUAUUAAAUUCACUAAAUAACGUUUAUUUGUAAAGUCUUCAAUAUUUGGGAAAAGUUACCAAAUUUGACAAAUAUUUAAUAAUAAGGAAAAUUAGCUCACAAAUUUUUGUAAGUUUAGUAAGAUCAAUGCCAUCUCUUUAUUUUGUAAACGUUUGUACCUACAAAAUUUACAAAUUUUAAGUAUAAAGUUACAAAUGACUGUGUAAAUUUCAUCGUUGAACGCAAACUCAAAUAAAUCAAUACCAACGUCUGUUCA
Folsomia candida is the source of this 1221-nucleotide long non-coding RNA. RefSeq lists it as uncharacterized. The record is from RefSeq and is a predicted model, not a curated record. The transcript is spliced from 2 exons. Lineage: Eukaryota; Metazoa; Arthropoda; Collembola; Entomobryomorpha; Isotomidae.